This 24-nucleotide non-coding RNA is filed under the name Arabidopsis thaliana (thale cress). The record is from RNAcentral. RNAcentral also lists the same sequence under 1 other name. Lineage: Eukaryota; Viridiplantae; Streptophyta; Magnoliopsida; Brassicales; Brassicaceae.
GGGCGUUUGGUCUAGUGGUAUGAU